CUGUCCCAGUUCGGACUGUAGGCUGCAACUCGCCUACACGAAGCUGGAAUCGCUAGUAAUCGCGGAUCAGCACGCCGCGGUGAAUACCGUUCCCGGGCCUUGUACACACCGCCCGUCACACCAUGAGAGUCUGUAACACCCAAAGCCGGUGGGAUAACCUUUAUAGGAGUCAGCCGUCUAAGGUAGGACAGAUGAUUAGGGUGAAGUCGUAACAAGGUAAC
This 221-nucleotide ribosomal RNA is filed under the name uncultured bacterium. RNAcentral's name for it is "partial 16S ribosomal RNA". It matches the Rfam family "Bacterial small subunit ribosomal RNA", at positions 1283 to 1500 of the family's 1533-position model. The record is from RNAcentral.